CGGAGACCCGGGCCCCGGGCCUGCAGCGCCCCCGCCUCCGCGCUCCUCGGGCAGCCCUCACGCCGGGAGAGGGCGCCUCGGGCUCGGACACCUUCCACACCCGCCCCGGGGUCGGAGCAGCUCAGGAAGAGCAUCCUAGCCUCAGACUGCGCGGUGGGGAGCCUCCUCGGGACUGGAGGGAGAGGUGAAAGGAGGGUCAGAACCUUGGCGAGAACUCGCCGCCUCCACACCUGAGGGCACAGACUGAAAUAGUUCUAUCCAGGUUUUCUAGUUGUUUAUUGAGACAGUUGAUCUCUACAAGCUGGUUUGACAUAGGCAGAAGCAGAAGUCCCUUCAUGUGUUGGUCCUGCGCUAGGAGGUGGCUGAUCCAGGAUGAAUCAGAUCUUACCCCUGACCUCCAGUUGCUCACAGCCUCAAGGAGAAAAGGAAAAUAACGUGAUAGGCAUAAUACAGUGUGGAAAGUGCAACAGUGGUCCAAGUUCAGUCCACCAACUCAGGGCUGAGCUGGUGGAGUGAAAGCCUGGAACUGCUGAUGGCCAUCUUUGCCACCAAGACAGAGAAAGCCUCCCUGAGAAUGAAGCCAACACUUGAGUAAACAGAUCUGAAAGAAAGAGAUCUGUCUGCCUGAUGAUGCUGUGUGGGUGCCUAGAUCCAGCCAUGCCUGAAGACUAACCUGAAUAUUUCAUCUUUGUGAGCCAGUGAAUUCUCUUUUUGGAGUAAUUGUUUGAGUUGAGCUUUUGCUCCUUCUAACGAAAGAGUUCUAGUGAAUAUAGGUUCCACUAAAAAGCUUUUAUGUCAGUACAGAGCAUCUAUUUGGGAUGAUUUAAAUUUUUGGAAAUAGAUGGUGGGAUGGUCGCAUGACAUUAUAAAUGUAUUUAAUGUCACUGAAUUGUACACUUAAAAUGGAUAAAAUGAUAAAUUUAAUGUUAUGUACAUUU
Camelus dromedarius (Arabian camel) is the source of this 938-nucleotide long non-coding RNA. RefSeq lists it as uncharacterized. The record is from RefSeq and is a predicted model, not a curated record. NCBI's taxonomy places the organism in Eukaryota, Metazoa, Chordata, Mammalia, Artiodactyla, Camelidae. The transcript has 4 exons.